This is a long non-coding RNA of Monomorium pharaonis (pharaoh ant), 969 nucleotides long. RefSeq lists it as uncharacterized. The record is from RefSeq and is a predicted model, not a curated record. The transcript has 5 exons. Lineage: Eukaryota; Metazoa; Arthropoda; Insecta; Hymenoptera; Formicidae.
AAACUAACCUUGAAAAUACUCCCCUGUUUUGAUUUUACUUAGAAGGAGUUAGUUCAAUAUAGCAGGUUUAAUUAAUUAAGAAAGAAUGGGAUGCGAAGACGACGAAACGCAUAAUAUCCAGUAUAAAAAGAAGAAGACGAAACCUUUAAGGAAACGCGAAGCUUCUCGGUUUGAGCGAGGAAGAGAAAAUGUCCAAGUAGAAAGUCGAGGAAACAAAGAUUAUUCAGAAAUUCCGUGAGAGACCGGCUGGCCGAUAUUGUUGGUUUGGCGCUCGGAGAAAGCGUUUUGUGUAAUGUGUUGUUGUGGGUAAGACACAUUUUAAUAUGAAAACCGGAGGAAAAUAUGACUAUGCUGAAGAAUACAAAAUAUAAGCUGAAUGACUCGUACGACACCAGCAGUAGAACUCGAUUUAAUAUGGAGACCAAUAAACGCGACAAAGAAAUGGUCAAUUAUGUAGAAGAAUUGUUGAAGUGCAAGAGUAAAAAUAAUAAUGAUGCAGUGAAUAGUACGAAUAAUGAUAAAGGAUUGUAUUGCUUGCCAGAGGAAACAGCAUUGCACACAGUACUAGAGUACUAGAGUACUGCAAGUUAAGCGAGAAAAUUUGAGGAGUGAUUUUAGUCUAGCAGCUGGAAUGUCGGGCAAAUUAUGUUGUAAACAAAAACUUAUGGCUUGGAGGAGAGCCAGCAUAGCCACGAUAUCUCGGCCAAUGGGUAGCACACAGGAUAUCACAAAGAUUUUUUCGUCCUGUGAUUUAUACAAAAUGCCACUGAGGCAACAAAAUUCUGUUUCCGGACAUAUGACUCGCAGGAGGUCAUCUUUCAGCUCCGAAUCACCGAAAUUGGGGAGAUCGAAAAACUAGAUCGUACCGAGUCAGUAAUAUUAUUAUGUAUUUACAUCUCUUUAUAAAUAUCUUGCACUAGGAUUUAAAAUAUCUAUUAAUCCUUACAAUACAAUCAUUAUAUGAUAUAA